RNAcentral lists this ribosomal RNA (546 nucleotides) under uncultured bacterium. RNAcentral describes it as "bacterial SSU rRNA". It matches the Rfam family "Bacterial small subunit ribosomal RNA", at positions 777 to 1336 of the family's 1533-position model. The record is from RNAcentral.
AAUAGAUACCCAGGUAGUCCACGCCGUAAACGAUGGAUGCUAGCUGUUAUGAGUAUCGACCCUUGUAGUAGCGAAGCUAACGCGUUAAGCAUCCCGCCUGUGGAGUACGAGCGCAAGCUUAAAACAUAAAGGAAUUGACGGGGACCCGCACAAGCGGUGGAGCGUGUUGUUUAAUUCGAUGAUAAGCGAAGAACCUUACCAAGGCUUGACAUCCCUGGAAGGUCUCCGAAAGGAGACUGUGCCUUCGGGAAUCAGGUGACAGGUGAUGCAUGGCCGUCGUCAGCUCGUGUCGUGAGAUGUUUGGUUAAGUCCAUCAACGAGCGCAACCCUUAUAAAUAGUUGAAUUUUUCUAUUUAGACUGCCUCGGUAACGGGGAGGAAGGAGGGGAUGACGUCAGGUCAGUAUUUCCCUUAUGCCUUGGGCUACAAACACGCUACAAUGGCCGGUACAAAGGGCAGCCAACCCGCGAGGGGGAGCAAAUCCCAUCAAAACCGGUCCCAGUUCGGAUAGCAGGCUGAAACUCGCCUGCUUGAAGUCGGAAUCGCG